RNAcentral lists this ribosomal RNA (529 nucleotides) under Nanokerala nr. browni 00052228. Its description in RNAcentral is "partial 16S ribosomal RNA". It matches the Rfam family "Bacterial large subunit ribosomal RNA", at positions 1823 to 2610 of the family's 2925-position model. Lineage: Eukaryota; Metazoa; Arthropoda; Insecta; Hemiptera; Reduviidae. The record is from RNAcentral.
AAAACAUGUUUUAAGGUUUUAUUUAAAGUUUGGCCUGCUCUAUGAUUAAUGUAUUAAAUGGCCGCGGUAUAUUAACUGUGCUAAGGUAGCGUAAUAAUUUGCUUUUUAAUUGGGAGCUCGAAUGAAUGGUUGGAUGAAACAUAAACUUUCUUCAUUUUAUUAUUUGAAUUUAAUUUUUUAGUUAAAAAGCUAAGAUUUUUUUGUGGGACGAGAAGACCCCGUAGAUCUUUAAUUGAGGUAGUAAUUUGUUGAUUUGUUAAUGUUUAGUAAAUUAAUAUUUUGAUUUUUGGUUGGGGCGAUUGUAGAAUUUAUGGAACUUCUAUUUUUACAUGUCAUUGAUGGGUGAGUGUUUGAUCUAUUAUUAAUGGUUAUAAGAUUAAGUUACCUCGGGGAUAACAGCGUAAUUUUCUCGGAGAGUUCAUAUUGAUGAGUAAGUUUGCGACCUCGAUGUUGGAUUAAAAUAAGUGAUUAAAUGAAGGAGUUAAUUAACUAGGUCUGUUCGACCUAUAAUUUUUUACAUGAUCUGAGU